UUCUAUAUCUGAGUCGGAUAUUAAAAGCCAGUCCCCACUCCGCCCCAAGGGUCGAGUUCACACCCUUCAUUUCACCACCUACGAGUUCUUCUCUUUGGUGCUGCCUUCUUCCACAAGUGACUAAGGGCUGGGAGGUCGAGCGGCUGAGGCUGGGAGCAUCACAGAGCUGGGGCUGCUGCAGGGGCAGGAUACAGGGUUGAGCCAGCACUCACCUGAAUGGGGGCCAAGUGGCUGCUGGAACCAGCAUCUUCAGGAAAGACAGGCGAGAACCACAGUGGCUGGUCUGCAGCCAGAAUACCUGGCCAUAGAGUGGAUGAAGGAAGGGAUCCAAGACGGGAAACUAAGUGACCUACGGGAAGUUUGCAGAGGCCAUUGGAGAGGAUGGCAAGUCUGGAGGAAUUUUCUGGGCUGGUUUGGAUACUUGUGAUGCUUUGGAAGAAUUGCCUGAGGCCUCCUUCAGGGAUGGAGGAGAUCAGUAAAGGGAUUAAUUUAUACACUGGAUGGUUAGAACCUCUUUUGUGAGCUUCUAUGCUAUGGUACACUAAAUAGUCACUGAGAAGGAGAAUGGAGAAAAACAAUUCUUUAUAUGUGGAUGGAUAUGGGUCUGCAGUGGGGAAAACACAGAAGUUUGAAACGAAUUCAAAUCUGAGCCAGGCUCCUGUUGUCUCCUUGAUGUAGAUUGGAAGAGCUGUUUAUUGGUUUCACACAGGCCACCUCUUGUGUUGAAGACUCGUGGAAUUACUAUUGCCUUUCUCUCUGACUCUCCUUCAGAUUCCUGAAGCAACGUCAAGCAACAUCAGUUUCUUCACGCAUCUGUAGCACUCACAAGCAUGUUACUUUCAUUUUCCCAGUUUUACUCAGAAAUAAUUGACCUGCAUCAUUGUAUAAAUUUAAGGCAUAUAAUAAAGUGGUUUGAUUUA
Molecule: long non-coding RNA, 920 nt
Organism: Bubalus bubalis (water buffalo)
Lineage: Eukaryota; Metazoa; Chordata; Mammalia; Artiodactyla; Bovidae
Exons: 3
Source: RefSeq, a predicted model, not a curated record